CCUACGGGCGGCAGCAGUGAGGAAUAUUGGUCAAUGGACGAGAGUCUGAACCAGCCAAGUAGCGUGAAGGAUGACUGCCCUAUGGGUUGUAAACUUCUUUUAUAUGGGAAUCAAACGUUCCACGUGUGGGAUUUUGUAUGUACCAUAUGAAUAAGGAUCGGCUAACUCCGUGCCAGCAGCCGCGGUACUACGGAGGAUCCGAGCGUUAUCCGGAUUUAUUGGGUUUAAAGGGAGCGUAGGUGGAUUGUUAAGUCAGUUGUGAAAGUUUGCGGCUCAACCGUAAAAUUGCAGUUGAAACUGGCAGUCUUGAGUACAGUAGAGGUGGGCGGAAUUCGUGGUGUAGCGGUGAAAUGCUUAGAUAUCACGAAGAACUCCGAUUGCGAAGGCAGUUCACUGGACUGCAACUGACACUGAGGCUCGAAAGUGUGGGUAUCAAACAGGAUUAGAUACCCUUGUAGUC
This 460-nucleotide ribosomal RNA is filed under the name uncultured bacterium. RNAcentral describes it as "partial 16S ribosomal RNA". It matches the Rfam family "Bacterial small subunit ribosomal RNA", at positions 338 to 795 of the family's 1533-position model. The record is from RNAcentral.